This is a long non-coding RNA of Beta vulgaris subsp. vulgaris (sugar beet), 3037 nucleotides long. RefSeq lists it as uncharacterized. The record is from RefSeq and is a predicted model, not a curated record. NCBI's taxonomy places the organism in Eukaryota, Viridiplantae, Streptophyta, Magnoliopsida, Caryophyllales, Amaranthaceae. The transcript has 3 exons.
GGGCAUUGAUGAAUGAGCAUAACAGGUCGUUCAUUGACUGGUUUCACAAUAAAGUAAUUGGUGAAUUGUCUACAAACAACCAUCAUGUACCUUAUACAAUUAAGUGGUUGGCAUACGGUCCACGUGACAAUUUUAAGUCAUAUGAAGGAUAUGAUAUCAAUGGUUAUACCUUUUACACUGAACGUCGGGAUAAGAAAUAUAAGAUGGUCCAGAAUUGUGAGGUUUCAACGGUUGCAUCAUCUAGGGAGUAUGCGAGUGCAAAGGAUAAAACUCCGAUUGAUGCUACACAAUCAUAUUAUGGGAUCAUUCAAGAAAUAUGGGAGCUCGAUUAUUGUGACUUCACUAUGCCUAUUUUUCGAUGCAAGUGGACGGAUAACAGACGUGGUUUACAAAGGGAUGUGUGCGGUUUUACUCUAGUCGAUAUGAGUCGUCUGCGUGACACCGAAGAACCUUUUAUGCUUGCAUCGUAAGCAAAACAAGUGUUCUAUGUAUCUGAUCCCGAAACACUCAGUGGUGCAUUGUUAUUAAUGGUAAAAGGUGAAUUUUAGGAGUAGGUGAUGUUGACGACGAAGAAGAAUAUGAUAAGUUUGAUGAUAUCCCCCCUUUCUCAAUCCCAAAUGAUGAUAUGAUGAAUGUGUCUGAUACUGAAAAUAGUUACAUGCGAAUGGAUCACCAAGAAGGUGUAACAGUCAUCGAACAACCUACUGACCAAAAUUAAAGGUAAAAAAUGUUCUAUAUGAGUAAUUUGACUUGUUUUGGAUUUUGUUACAAUAAAGUGAUGAUAUAUAUUGUUUUAAAUUUCGUUAACACUCUUUCUUGUUUCUAUGUAUAUGCUACAUAUAUGGCUAGUGACGAUUCGAGCGAUCAUUCAUCGGAGUCUGAUGCCCUUUUUCACCCAGAAAAGGAGGCUGACACUAGUAGAAUAAAUGCUAUUUGCUGCGGUGAUAUUGCUGCAGUUUUACCUAUACGCAGCAAUAUUUCACGCAAAAAGAAAAGAAAAAAUAGAAAAUAACAAUAUUGCUGCGGUUCCCGCCCAAAACCGCAGCAAUAUUGUUCAACGGAUACAUUUUGAAAAAAAUGUGGGGCCUGGAGAGACUAAUAUUACUGCGGUUUUGGUCUGAAAUCGCAGCAAUAUGGAAUCAAUAGGAAUUUUUUUGAAAAAAAGUUGACUAUUUGACCAGAAAUAUUGCUGCGGUUUUUAUCAAACACCGCAGCAAUAUCAUUAAAAAAUAGUAAAAACAGAAGUAUAUAUAAAACAUGCAGGUCACAAGUAGGGUUUUUAUUAGUGUUGCAUCUCCUCUAACCCUCAGCGUCCUCUCGCCUCUCCUCACUCCUCUCACCUCUCUCCUCACCUCUCCGGCCAUUUCUCUCAACCUCUCCUCUCUCCUCUCAAACCCUCACUCUCUCUCGCUCUAGAUCUACUCGUCGCCACCCUCCUCGAUUUGUUCGUUCACUCUCGCAACAAAUCCACCCUCUCGCUCUAGUUCGUUCACUCUCCUUGUCGGUCCAGUUCGUUCACUCUCCUCGUCGCUCCAGUUCGCAACAAACCACUUGAUGUUCAAUAUGAUUUGUUCGUCCACCCUCGAUUUGUUCGUCUUCUUUCUCAACGAGUUCAGAUUUGGGUCGCUCUCGGUUGGUUAGUUGCCGGCGACAACUCUUCGUUCGCAGCGAUUUUUUCGAACUGCACGCGCAUCGAAGUUUCGGUUGGUGGCCGGCGACAAGGACGACGUGCGGAUGGUGGCCGGCGGUUUAGAUUUUUUUUGUUUCAUUUAUUUUUUGGAUUUGUUUGAUUUUAACACUCUUUUUUUGUUUAUUAGGUUUCAUACUUUCUGUUUUUUAGCUUUCAUUCGUUUUUUGGAUUAUGUAUUUUUUUUUCCUUUUUCCGUUUCUUUCGUUAUUUUAGAUUUGUAGAAUUUUUAUUUUAGGAAUUUUUAAUAUUUUUUUCGUUUUUUUCUUUUAGUAAUAGUCAUUGUAAUUAAAAUUUAAGUUGCCAUAAGAUCUAAUAAACAAAUUUAUUUUCAGCCUUCAUUUUGAGAUGUUGUGCACAUUGAACUUGUGUCAAUUCAUAUGCGAAUUUUGUGGAUAAUGGAUUGGUUUGUUGUAUGAUUUUAAUUUUUCAUAUGUGAUUGCAAAAUGCCAAAAAAAAAAAAAAUUUUUUUUUGGUUACCAAGACCUAUUGCUGCGGUUUUGGGCCAAAACCGCAGCAAUAGUUAGACAUAUUGCUGCGGUUUUGGCCCAAAACCGCAACAAUACUCUCUGUUAAAUAUGUAAUACAUAAAAAUAUUGUUGCGGUUUGGCCUAAAAACCGCAGCAAUAUUUGUAGAUAUUAUUGCGGUUUAAAACCGCAACAAUAUUAUUAAAACCUAUUGCUGCCCCCUUAAUUGCUGCGCGCCCAAAACCGCAGCAAUAUGACACUUUUUAACCGCAACAAAUAGCAUUUAUUCUACUAGUGUGACCAGGGAGAGGACAGUGAUCGUGCCGCAGAUGUGUUAGAUGCAUGGAUGGAGAGAUUUGAGCUAGAGGCUGAUAGGAAUGCUUUACUUAGCAUUGAGGUGACAGGUGAUGGGCAGCCAACCCCUUGAGAUCCACAUAAGACCACUACAUAUUAUGGUGCACAAGGGAGCGGGAAGAAGUCAAGUGGGAAUCCAAAGGCAUCUAGAAAGAGUAAACGAGGUCCCACGAUGAAUCUCCACAACAUAGGAGAUAUGGUCUUAGAGUUUGAUGAUUUGGGAAGACCAACAGGUCAAUGGCGAGCCAAGGAUGGUAUUUGGAUCGGUUUUUCUAUACGGAAGUUGAACAUCAAUUGGUAAUGGAGACACAUUUUGGGCCAUUUUCUUUCCAAAUGAAUUAAUAUGAAUUGUUUCACGCUAGUUUAAGUUGUAAACACCUCUAACAUAUCAUAUAUACUUAGUUUAAUGUAUUUAUUGGUAGAUUUGAUUGGUAAUACAAUAUAUAGACAAGUUGGAACCAAAAUAAGCCCUUUUAGCCUAUUUUGAAAAACAGAACAUGUUUCACAUUCCCGGCUUGGUUCCAUACA